CGAGAUCCACCACCUCUAUUCUCCCUCUCUCCCCCUCUCUCAAAAAGAUAGGCCCUCGAUUCGACACUUCUGCCAUGGUGGAUCGCUUUCGUUCUCUGCAGUUCCUCCCCCAUUGACUGGACGUGCAAUACUUUAGAUUUUACAAUACCUUUUGCAGGUUUUGAUUUUUUGGAGUAGGAAAGGGGGGUAGAGGUGGACGCUAGGAUCAGUGAUAUCACAACGAGAAAGCACGUCUAUUGGAAGAGAUAACUGAUCAAUAUACGAGAUCUGGCUUUCACAAACAUGAAAAGCACAUAACUGCACAACAUAGGCAUAGCUCGUGCUCUUGUUUAUUUCCUGUGUCAAUCUAUGUUGAGUAGUUUGGGCAAGGGCUGAUAGUAGUCUGGUGCAGAAACUCAGGUAAUUUUGUUGUUGGUCAACUGAUGCUUGAUUCAUUGCAAUAGCUCCGAUCUAAGGUAAUCCAUUUACCUUUUCCUAUUCUGCAUACAUUUUUUCUUCACCUUUUCCUAUUCUGAAUGUUAAAUACAGUCAAUUGAUUAGUGUGGCCAUGAACCUUUUUCUUUACUUAUUACAGUCCUAGCUAAUUUUGCAUGUCAAGUAAAUUAAAAAAAUAUUUUGUCAAUUCUGCCAAAAUUCUUAAUUUCUGAAUUUUAAUCUAAAAAGUUUGCACAAGAAUAGUACUCUUCGAUUAUGACCUGUGUCCUCAAUUUUUUCUACACUGUAAAAGCAUAGAUUUUUAUAAUAUCUGCUACACUAUAAUAUAUAGUACGAGCAGUGAUCAGAAAAGGUUUUCAUCUAUAUUGUUUAUCAUUCUUAAAAGUUACUGUAAGUUUCGUUCCCUAUUUCAGGUAGCCCUAGGUGUGGUCUAUAUAGAAUGUACCUGGGGAACCAUUCAAGGUUGGAGGAGAACGAGGAUAGUGGCUACAUGACAACCUUGAGUUCGUUGCCAAGAAGGUACGUAAGGAGCAAAGCAGAAUUAGUAUGCACAGUGUCCUCGAGUGGUGGAUUGCAAGUGAUGUCAGUUAAGUUUCAGGUGCCUUCCCCAUUGGUGCCGACCAGGGAAAGCAUUUCGUGAGGUACUGUAGGUAGAACGCUGACGGAACAUGGGCCAUUGUUGACAUCUAGCUGGACAGCCUGCGCCCCAGCUUCGUCCUCAAGUGCAGGCACCUGCCAUCACGAUGUCUGAUCCAGGGAAUGCCUAAUGGCUAUUCAAAGGUCUGUAGUAUGUACAUGAUUGAAAUUUUCAGUUUUCACACAUUGUAGUAGAUGACAUGUUAUAUUGAUCACAUGUGCUCUAGCACCAAUAUCAACGCAUAGUAUCGGUACACUUGAGCUUGGAGACUAUCUUUGUUGGGUUCAUCACCCAAAGUAAAAAGCACUUCCUUUAUUCAUAUAUAGUUCAUCAUCAUUCCCAUUAUAUGCAAUUUCAACACUUUGGGUAAUAUUCUCUGUGAUAGAAUUGAUUUGCACCUCGCAGGUGUUAAGCCAAGAUGAGACACCAUCCUUUUGUAGUUUGGUGUUUGGUACUAUAAAGUUUUCAUUAUGAUGCUAACGGCUUAUUUAUCUUACAUGCUAGCUGUACUAUCAAAAGCAUGGAUGCAAAGGACCUUAAUCUGUCAAGGAGGUGAGGAGAUGAUGUACCAUGUAUCAUUAGUGGAUGGCCACACAAAAAAAAUAGUAUUACUAUGUAAUGACUGAAAUUUCAAUGAUGUGGCUUGAUGUGAGAGUAUAGAAUUAACCAUUAAUGAUUGUUAGUCUGUACAAUCUAUAUAGGUCAUAUAGAUUUUGUCAUUAUGAACCACACUUUUAAGAUCGUUUGUUAAUGGUAUAACAUAUCUCAAACUUCAAUUA
Sorghum bicolor (sorghum) is the source of this 1851-nucleotide long non-coding RNA. RefSeq lists it as uncharacterized. The record is from RefSeq and is a predicted model, not a curated record. The transcript is spliced from 4 exons. NCBI's taxonomy places the organism in Eukaryota, Viridiplantae, Streptophyta, Magnoliopsida, Poales, Poaceae.